UACGUAGGGGGCUAGCGUUGUCCGGAAUCAUUGGGCGUAAAGAGCGUGUAGGCGGUCCGGUAAGUCCGCUGUGAAAGUCGGGGGCUCAACCCUCGAAUGCCGGUGGAUACUGUCGGGCUAGAGUGCGGAAGAGGCGAGUGGAAUUCCUGGUGUAGCGGUGAAAUGCGCAGAUAUCAGGAGGAACACCUAUUGCGAAGGUAGGUCGCUGGGACGUAACUGACGCUGAGACGCGAAAGCGUGGGGAGCAAACAGG
Molecule: ribosomal RNA, 253 nt
Filed under: uncultured bacterium
Lineage: Bacteria
Description: partial 16S ribosomal RNA
Rfam family: Bacterial small subunit ribosomal RNA
Source: RNAcentral